GGAGUCGUGUCCGAGCGGUUUAAGGUGCAGUCUUGGAAAGGCUGUGUAGGUGAAAGCUUACCCAGGGUUCGAAUCCCUGCGACUCCG
Molecule: transfer RNA, 87 nt
Filed under: Ileibacterium valens
Lineage: Bacteria; Bacillati; Bacillota; Erysipelotrichia; Erysipelotrichales; Erysipelotrichaceae
Rfam family: tRNA
About the family: Transfer RNA (tRNA) molecules are approximately 80 nucleotides in length. Their secondary structure includes four short double-helical elements and three loops (D, anti-codon, and T loops). Further hydrogen bonds mediate the characteristic L-shaped molecular structure. tRNAs have two regions of fundamental functional importance: the anti-codon, which is responsible for specific mRNA codon recognition, and the 3' end, to which the tRNAs corresponding amino acid is attached (by aminoacyl-tRNA synthetases). tRNAs cope with the degeneracy of the genetic code in two manners: having more than one tRNA (with a specific anti-codon) for a particular amino acid; and 'wobble' base-pairing, i.e. permitting non-standard base-pairing at the 3rd anti-codon position.
Source: Rfam by way of RNAcentral